Molecule: unclassified non-coding RNA, 249 nt
Filed under: Hevea brasiliensis (rubber tree)
Lineage: Eukaryota; Viridiplantae; Streptophyta; Magnoliopsida; Malpighiales; Euphorbiaceae
Source: RNAcentral
GCAUGAUGAUUUCAUACUAAUAACUGUCCAUAUGUUUGUUCAUGUGCACAAGUCACUAUCUGAAUGAAGCAAAGUGGAAUCUGUAUUUGCGACCAGCAAUACAAUCACAAAGAAAUAGAUAAUAUGGACAAGUAAACCUUCCAUACACAUCACAUAAUUUUAUGACUAUAUUAAGGUUCACAAAACCUUAGGAUUUCGGCGUUUAGAAGCUGGAAUCAGACAUGGAUAAAUAUGAACUUAUUAAAGAAG